AUUCGUUUAGUAUAUGAAAGUACAUUUAAUUUCCAAUUAAAAGGACUAAAAUCAAUUAGAAUGAAUA
RNAcentral lists this transfer RNA (67 nucleotides) under Leptomantella tonkinae. RNAcentral's name for it is "tRNA-Gly". Lineage: Eukaryota; Metazoa; Arthropoda; Insecta; Mantodea; Leptomantellidae. The record is from RNAcentral.